GACAGAGGGGGCAAGCGUUGCUCGGAAUCACUGGGCGUAAAGGGCGCGUAGGCGGGAUGGCAAGUCGGUCGUGAAAUCCCUCGGCUUAACCGAGGAACUGCCGUCCAAACUGCUUUGCUUGAGACCGGGAGAGGUGAGUGGAAUUCCCAGUGUAGCGGUGAAAUGCGUAGAUAUUGGGAGGAACACCGGUGGCGAAGGCGGUUCUCUGGGCCUGACCUGACGCUGAGGAGCGAAAGCGUGGGGAGCGAACAGG
Molecule: ribosomal RNA, 253 nt
Filed under: uncultured bacterium
Lineage: Bacteria
Description: partial 16S ribosomal RNA
Rfam family: Bacterial small subunit ribosomal RNA
Source: RNAcentral